RNAcentral lists this ribosomal RNA (253 nucleotides) under uncultured bacterium. RNAcentral's name for it is "partial 16S ribosomal RNA". It matches the Rfam family "Bacterial small subunit ribosomal RNA", at positions 524 to 776 of the family's 1533-position model. The record is from RNAcentral.
UACGUAGGGGGCAAGCGUUGUCCGGAAUCAUUGGGCGUAAAGAGCGCGUAGGCGGCCCUGUAAGUCCGCUGUGAAAGUCAAGGGCUCAACCCUUGGAUGCCGGUGGAUACUGCAGGGCUAGAGUCCGGAAGAGGCGAGUGGAAUUCCUGGUGUAGCGGUGAAAUGCGCAGAUAUCAGGAGGAACACCGGUGGCGAAGGCGGUUCUCUGGGCCUUACCUGACGCUGAGGAGCGAAAGCGUGGGGAGCGAACAGG